Molecule: ribosomal RNA, 467 nt
Filed under: uncultured bacterium
Lineage: Bacteria
Description: partial 16S ribosomal RNA
Rfam family: Bacterial small subunit ribosomal RNA
Source: RNAcentral
GACGAACGCUGGCGGCGUGCUUAACACAUGCAAGUCGAACGGAAAGGCCCUGCUUUUGUGGGGUGCUCGAGUGGCGAACGGGUGAGUAACACGUGAGUAACCUGCCCUUGACUUUGGGAUAACUUCAGGAAACUGGGGCUAUACCGGAUAGGAGCUCCUGCUGCAUGGUGGGGGUUGGAAAGUUUCGGCGGUUGGGGAUGGACUCGCGGCUUAUCAGCUUGUUGGUGGGGUAGUGGCUUACCAAGGCUUUGACGGGUAGCCGGCCUGAGAGGGUGACCGGCCACAUUGGGACUGAGAUACGGCCCAGACUCCUACGGGAGGCAGCAGUGGGGAAUAUUGCACAAUGGGCGGAAGCCUGAUGCAACAACGCCGCGUGCGGGAUGACGGCCUUCGGGUUGUAAACCGCUUUCGCCUGUGACGAAGCGUGAGUGACGGUAAUGGGUAAAGAAGCACCGGCUAACUACGUG